This 336-nucleotide ribosomal RNA is filed under the name uncultured bacterium. Its description in RNAcentral is "bacterial SSU rRNA". It matches the Rfam family "Bacterial small subunit ribosomal RNA", at positions 28 to 366 of the family's 1533-position model. The record is from RNAcentral.
GACGAACGCUGGCGGCGUGCUUAACACAUGCAAGUCGAGCGGUAAGGCCCUUCGGGUACGACGAGCGGCGAACGGGUGAGUAACACGUGGGUGACCUGCCUCUAGCUCUGGGAUAAGCCUGGGAAACUGGGUCUAAUACCGGAUAUGACUCCACGGCGCAUGUUGUGGGGUGGAAAGCCUUGUGUGGCUAGAGAUGGGCCCGCGGCCUAUCAGCUUGUUGGUGGGGGUAUGGCCGUACCAAGGCGACGACGGGUGGCCGGCCUGAGAGGGCGACCGGCCACACUGGGACUGAGACACGGCCCAGACUCCUACGGGAGGCAGCAGUGGGGAAUCUUG